UGUAAGCUCACAGGCUGGUCUAUUGAUCAGUUAUUUGAAAUCUGUACUAGGCUCAUUACAAAAGUAAUAAUACUUCAGGUUGUACACAUCGUCUUAUAUGGAUAUCUCAGUUAACUGCAGAACUAAUACGUGAAUAAAUCAAGAGAGAGAUAAUCUUAUAUACAAAUAUUUGGCUAUGAUUAGCAAUAUUUAACGGCGUUAGACUACGGUCGCGCCGAGUAGACGGAAAAUUGCUAAGUGGAAUUUAUUCUGCUUAUGAGAAGAGGCGAGAGUAUAACUCUCAGUGCAACCCGCCAACGUGGAGAGUUUCUUCACAAUUAGUUUGGUUUCUGCAAUAUAGUUUUGGAAAGACUAUGAUUGUUACGAGAAAUUAUCGUUUGAUUUCGGAGAGAAAGCCUAAUAAACGGCUAUCACAUCUAAGGAAGGCAGCAGGCGCGAAAAUUACCCAAUUAUAACUCAUAGAGGUAGUAAAUAAGUAUAACGAUCUCCUUUUCAAUUGAUUAGGAGGGUAAGUCCAAAAGGACUUUUGCAAUGAGUACAAUUUAAAAUUCAGUAUAAGUAGCAAUUAGAGGACAAGUCUGGUGCCAGCACCCGCGGUAAUUCCAGCUCUAAGAGUAUAUAUUAAUGUUGUUGCGGUUAAAACGUUCGUAGUUGUAAUAAAAUAUAUUUUGCAGUGGUCGUCGUCUUGGUUGUCCAAAGGUCUCUCCGGAGGCGUGCGGGCUUAGGUACUCCGGUGCCACCGAGUCGGCUUCGGUUUAGAUGUCUAGUUUCAGGCUUUGAUAAGCGGUGCUGGACUGAUGAGUGGCUGUUGUGAAGUAAAUUGUAAUGUGGUCGUGAGCAAAUCUGUGUGCUUAAAGCGCUCAAAUACAGGGAGACACAGUGUGUCUUUCACAAUCGAUUAUUUGCUAUAGCACGAUACCAUCUAGAAGUCGAUUGCCAAUCUUUGAUUGGUGGUCUAUGCGAUAAAUGAGAUAUUGAUUCAAGUGUGCCAUACCGGCGGGAUAGAGGUGAAAUUCAAUGACCCUGUCGUGAUGACCAAAGGCGAAAGCAGCACACAAGGACGUAUCUGUCGAUGAGGGACUAAAGUUAGAGGAUCGAAGAUGAUUAGAUACCGUUGUAGUUCUAACCAUAAACUAUAUCAACUGGGAAUUCCAGUAACACCUUUCCCAAGAUUAUUGGAGGACCCGCGGAAAACCAAGUGUUUGGAUUCCGGGGGUAGUAUUAUCGCAAGCUUGAAACUUAAAAGAAUUGACGGAAAAGCACCACCAUGGUGUGGAUUUUGCGGUUUAAUUUGACUCAACACAGGAAAACUUACCAAGUUCGGACAUAAGUAUGAUUGACAGGUUAAUGACCUUUCUUGAUUUUGUGAUAUGUGGUGCAUGGCCAUUCUUAGUUCGUGGAGUGAUUUGUCUUGUUAAUUCAGAUAACGAACGAGACCUUUACCUAUUAAUUAUGUGGCAGUAGUGAAAUAAAUAAAUCUAGUUUGAAAAUAAAUAUUACCGAGCAGCGGAGGUCUAGGCAACCCCUAGGUCUGACAAAGCUCACUUACUUCUUAAAGGGACUUCGUCCAUUCAAACUAGGUCGCGGAAGUCGGAGGCUAUAAUAGGUCUGUAUGCCCUUAGAUAUCUUGGGUAACACGCGCAAUACAAUGUUAGUAGCAAUAAGUUAAAUUAAGAGCACUUGAUGCUCAAUAAAACCUUUUUUGAGAGGAAUAGGAAAGCUAAGCAACUGCUUACUUGACAAGAAUUGUACUUUGUAAAUAGUACAUGAAUGAGGAAUACCUAGUAUACGCAAAUCAUCAUUUUGCAUAGAUUGCGUCCCUGCUUUUUGUACACACCGCCCGUCGCUUCAAUCGACACGGUCGGAAUUAUAAAGCUGAUAGACAGUAUGAGAGAAAUUGAAUGUUGUAAGUUGAAUGAAUUGUUUUGAUU
Molecule: ribosomal RNA, 1931 nt
Filed under: Stephanopogon pattersoni
Lineage: Eukaryota; Heterolobosea; Eutetramitea; Pseudociliatida; Stephanopogonidae
Description: partial 18S ribosomal RNA
Rfam family: Eukaryotic small subunit ribosomal RNA
Source: RNAcentral